Trichonephila clavata is the source of this 70-nucleotide non-coding RNA. The record is from the annotation of a GenBank genome assembly. Lineage: Eukaryota; Metazoa; Arthropoda; Arachnida; Araneae; Nephilidae.
UGGUAGCUUAGUGGUCUAGGUAAGGGACUCGUAGCUCGCGUGUCAUCAGUUCAAGUCUGGUUCUGCUGAA